UGUGCAUCUGCGCAUAGAGAAAAUGUCAUGU
Molecule: non-coding RNA, 31 nt
Filed under: Rattus norvegicus (Norway rat)
Lineage: Eukaryota; Metazoa; Chordata; Mammalia; Rodentia; Muridae
Source: RNAcentral